RNAcentral lists this ribosomal RNA (449 nucleotides) under uncultured bacterium. RNAcentral describes it as "partial 16S ribosomal RNA". It matches the Rfam family "Bacterial small subunit ribosomal RNA", at positions 29 to 523 of the family's 1533-position model. The record is from RNAcentral.
AGCGAACGCUGGCGGCAGGCCUAACACAUGCAAGUCGAACGGAUCCUUCGGGAUUAGUGGCGGACGGGUGAGUAACACGUGGGAACGUGCCCUUUGGUUCGGAACAACUCAGGGAAACUUGAGCUAAUACCGGAUGUGCCCUUCGGGGGAAAGAUUUAUCGCCAUUGGAGCGGCCCGCGUCUGAUUAGCUAGUUGGUGAGGUAAAGGCUAACCAAGGCGACGAUCAGCAGCUGGUCUGAGAGGAUGAUCAGCCACAGUGGGACUGAGACACGGCCCAAACACCUACGGGAGGCAGCAGUGGGGAAUCUUGCGCAAUGGGCGAAAGCCUGACGCAGCCAUGCCGCGUGAAUGAUGAAGGUCUUAGGAUUGUAAAAUUCUUUCACCGGGGACGAUAAUGACGGUACCCGGAGAAGAAGCCCCGGCUAACUUCGUGCCAGCAGCCGCCGUAA